Molecule: transfer RNA, 73 nt
Filed under: Nonomuraea roseoviolacea subsp. carminata
Lineage: Bacteria; Bacillati; Actinomycetota; Actinomycetes; Streptosporangiales; Streptosporangiaceae
Also listed under: 29 other names
Description: tRNA-Ala
Rfam family: tRNA
About the family: Transfer RNA (tRNA) molecules are approximately 80 nucleotides in length. Their secondary structure includes four short double-helical elements and three loops (D, anti-codon, and T loops). Further hydrogen bonds mediate the characteristic L-shaped molecular structure. tRNAs have two regions of fundamental functional importance: the anti-codon, which is responsible for specific mRNA codon recognition, and the 3' end, to which the tRNAs corresponding amino acid is attached (by aminoacyl-tRNA synthetases). tRNAs cope with the degeneracy of the genetic code in two manners: having more than one tRNA (with a specific anti-codon) for a particular amino acid; and 'wobble' base-pairing, i.e. permitting non-standard base-pairing at the 3rd anti-codon position.
Source: RNAcentral
GGGGCCUUAGCUCAGCUGGCAGAGCGCCUGCUUUGCAAGCAGGAUGUCAGGAGUUCGAAUCUCCUAGGCUCCA